GGGAAUGUGGCUUAGUGGUAGAGUGCUUGUCUAGCAUACAUGAAGCCAUGGGUUUAAUUCCUCAGUACCA
Molecule: non-coding RNA, 70 nt
Organism: Dipodomys ordii (Ord's kangaroo rat)
Lineage: Eukaryota; Metazoa; Chordata; Mammalia; Rodentia; Heteromyidae
Source: Rfam